Pleuronectes platessa (European plaice) is the source of this 4162-nucleotide long non-coding RNA. RefSeq lists it as uncharacterized. The transcript is spliced from 5 exons. Lineage: Eukaryota; Metazoa; Chordata; Actinopteri; Pleuronectiformes; Pleuronectidae. The record is from RefSeq and is a predicted model, not a curated record.
UGUUAGAAGAUGGUCUUUUCUGACGAGUGGGUUCAUAUUUUCUGUAUCUUAAUUUUAUGUGAAUAUGUUGAGUAUUUUGUUUUCGUAGGUGAGGGACUUUCUUAUUGUCGAGCCAAUUGUGUGUGCGCUCCCAAAUGUGUUUUGUCCAGAUAAGGUUACAACUGGGAGUGGUUUCUUUCCCAUACUGCAGCCAAGUUUGGGAAAAACAAGUUAAGCGGAAACACUACUGCUUUUGUCCACAGAGGCGCCAAAACCGACCAAAAUUUAAAGUUCCUUGUAGGAGCUUUAAGGGAUAGGGGUUAGGGUUACGGUUAUUUGAUCACACAUGUAUCACAUUUCAUCUCUCUUAUCUUUUACUUUGACAUAAAUUUGGUGUGGAUAUAAAAGUUUUCAUCUUAUUGUUGCCUCAUCAAGAGUCUGAAGUGUCACCUGCAGGACGAGGGACGGCACAGAGAAGAUCAUGGCUUCGUUGAAGAUGGGGUUUGUGUCGUCCCUUUUGGUGGACGUCUUCUUCUUGCUGAUCUUCUUGCCGUCUUGCAGGAGAUAAACUUUGACGAACGGGUCUGACAAUGAGAAUGAGUGAAGGCUCUUGCACUUGGCCACAACCACAGUGAGGCGCUCUGCUGUGGGCAAAUAGCUGAGAGACAAGAGGAUCUCGCCAACUGCAUCUACAGCCUGUGGAGUCAAAGCAGAACAUGGCAACACAUGUCAUAUAACACAGGAUGAGAGACAUGUGUUGGCAGGGGCCUGACCAAUCGGAGUUCAGUGCUUUUUGGUGGAAUACUGCUAACAUAUCUUCAGAUGAACUAUUUAAACUAAACAUCAUAAUUUAAAAUGUAACAUGAGGCCGACAUAUGUAAUAUUUAAAACCUUUUAAACAUGUUUGAUUCCAUUUUAAUAUCAAAUUGAUAAUCAAUCACUGUUAGAGAAAAUACGGAUAUUAAAAUAAUAAUUGCUACAUUUAAGGACCUUUUAUUGUUUUACUGUGCAUUAGUUAAUGUAAAUCAACAAAGUUACAGCCUUUUAAAUAUGCUCCAUCCAUUCAGUUGAUUAGAAUUAAUAAUGGUAAAAGCCAAUAACUAUUCCAGAGGCAAACUCUAGUCCCUGUACUGGUCAAUAUUAUUGAUAUCUAAAUUUGAGGUUUAGUUAAUUUGUUAAACUUGCUAAACUUACAUAUAUAUUUUUUUAAAUAACUCAGUAUUGUCACCAUGGUAACCUCAAAUCGUAUAUACCUGCCGCACUGAAUCUGAGUCAAGCCAAACGAAAACAUGUGUUUCAAUGAAAUAAUCUUUACGAUAUAAAUGACGUCAUCACCAAUCACAUCAGUUCUGCAUUAUAUUGUGCAGGUAGAGCCACGCGUUGAAGGGUCUGAUGGUCAGGUCCAAAUCUGACAGCUUGAGAUCUGCCACUCCUGCGCUUGUGUUCCUCUCUUCAGCGUCGAUGCCGAACGCGGAGAAUAGCAGGCUGUACUCCUCCAAAUUGGACGAUUCCAUGGGGAUGGAGAAGCGCUCUACAAAAAUCACGGUGAAUGCAUUGGUCUGGACCUGUGGGAGGCAGAGGGUUGAAGGUGAUAUGUUGGUAAACGCAGAGGAACCAAAACCACAAGCACAAAAUGUCGUGCUUUCGAGAUGAAUCAAACAAGUUUCAAAGAAAAGAUGUGGUGUAGGCUGUAACAUAUGUUCCUCUCCUCAUCCUCUCCUUGACUCACUCAGAACCACAGAAGGACAAUACACUUUCUAUUUAUGACAGGAUAACUCACUCAACUGUGGAGAAACCUCUGGUUCAAGCAGGCUGAAUGAAUCCAUCACCAAGGUCUCACAUACAGACGACCCCAAACAAAGCAGGUCUGCAGGAAGUUUUUAAAGACAACUUAAAAAAAAGAAAUAGUCAUUUGGAAGAAGAGGAUGCUUGGAUAUCUAUGUUGUAGCCCAGACUCAGGGUAGUAGUAGACAGUUUAAUACAUGUAACAGAAUAAAAAGAGGAGGAGAAGACGCUGCCAUGAAACCAAAUGUACGAUUAAAUGUGUACUGUAUCAUCUUUAACUACAUUUGUUGAAGGAUCAAUUUACCAAAACAACAACAAAGUAUGCUAUCUCACCUAACUCCAUGUGGCUCGAGGUGUUAAAACAUCAGUUUUAACACCGUUUUUUUUAAUUCCAAACAGUGAAGGUGAACUUUCUUAUUUUUUGGUUCUGACCUACUCUCUCCUGAAGAAAUAGUUCCUACAACACUCUUGGCAGUGUGUGCUAUGGUCGGUCAUUGUCAGGCUUAAUGCCAAACUGUCUUCGUAGCUUCUUCUGUGAAAUGACAGCAAAGCGUUGACCGGGAAUCACUGACUAAAUGGCAACCCACAUCAAAACCAAGCAGAAUCACGUCACAAGUCACUGUUGCUGUUUUUACUAUGAAAAAACCCAGUCUGACGGCAGUUUGACCAGCAGAGCACACCAUGACUCCCACAGAUACCAGUGAGAGACUCAGUCAUUCAGCCACAGUGACCAACACCAGCUUAGUGUCUGGUGCUGAGUUCAACUUCAGAUGCUGAAGCCCACGUGGAAACAGGGUGGUUUUCAAAGCGGUGGGAAGUUACCAGGCAACUAGUACAUGCGUAGAGGGGAGUGGGUUUAAUAAUAGCAUUUUUUUUUCUCACACCAGUGUUUAUUCUUGAAAUGUGAAAUACGAGGAGGAAUCUCUCUGAUAAUUUACACAAGAGCAAAAGCUGCUGCGAUGUAAAGUCACCAGAAGAUGUUAUGAAUAGGAAAAUAAUAUCUGCCUGAAUCGAAUGAGUCGUGAAUUCAGAGUACAGCAUCCACAAAUCAGCCUGUGUGAGGCCGACCUUGGUCUACACCUCACAUAAAACAUGGGAAUAUCAUCAUAAUCAUACAUCCAACACCUACAGCAUCCAGUAUACGGCCCUGCUGCUGCUGCUGUGCAAAGACAGAAUGUACAUGAGGAUAUAAAGCAUCCAAAGAGGUAUCUCUCUCUCCUUCCAUAACAUGAGACUGUCUGUCUUCAGUAUUCUCCUUAUCGCCUUUGGGAUAACAAUGGUGAUGUGUGUGGGGAAAAUCAAGCAAUGAAAAUAGAGAGGAAGAGAGAGAGGAAGAGAGGAUGGCACGUGUGUGAAGAUGGGACCGUGAUUUCAACAGGAGACAGCGAUAGAGAGAAUGAAGACUGGCAUGAGCAUUAUUACAGGCAAAACAAAAUCAAGAAGCAGUGACAGCAAAUAAAUGAGAUGGAAGAAAAGGGGAUGAGGGUGAAAAUAAGAAAGGAAAGGUGAGUGAAAGGAAAAAAACAAGGAGCUGGGGAUGAAAGUGAGUGAGAGACAGAGAGCAAAAGAAAACAAAGGCAGAAAAAAUCUGGCUUGACCAGCAGGGCGAGUGGAGCUGAUGUAAGCAUUUCCUUUGGUCGUCAACAUUAAAGAGAGAGCCAGUGAAUCUGAUGCAUGAGAGGCUGCUUCCCUUUCUUAUUACACCCAGUGUUAACAUCAACAUGCUCAGGUGAUCGGAGCCCCGAUGAGUGUGUGUGUGUGUGUGUCCCUGUCAGCCUGCACAAGCUUUACAAAGCGACAGGCACACACACGAGGAGCCGUCCACUCACAGCACAGCCAGGCAGGAAUCAGAAAAAGCUCUGGCAGCGUGGAGCCCAGAGCAGAAGGCCAGUGGCGGGUGGAGCAGAUGGAGGAGUGACGCUCUGUUCUUUUCCUCAGAGUCACUCCACCAUACAGAAAAGCACUUCAGUAGAAAAUGUAACAAUUAAGAUAAUAUCUUUCAUAUAUUUUAAAACUUUUAAAGAUAUGCAUGACUAAAAAAGGAAAAACAUGAAAAAAAUGAAUGUAAAUUUUCAAUUUAAAUAAUUUUUUUAUUGUUAAAGUUAUGAGAUUUAGUUUUAAAGUUUUGAGUUGAUUGGUAAAUCAUUACGUAAUAAUUAGAAUAAUUAGAAUAUGGAUAAAUACAAAUUAAUAUAUUAGCUUAAAAAAUAUGCUCUUUAAUACCAAAUUAAAAGAACAAAUGUAAAUAAAAUAAAAUAUAAUUAAAAUAUUAUUCUUAACUUGUUUGUUUAAAAAAUAUAGAUUCAGACAAAGACUAAGAAAUAUGAACUGAGUAUUUGUAUUUUGAUUAUGUUCAUCUUUUAUCUUAUUUUAUCUGUUUUCUGGUAAAAACAUAUGU